UCUAGCUCUCUUCUUCUCUCUUACUGAACACAGCCGCCAUUGUUUCUCCGCAAAUUCUUCUCCUUCUUCUCCUUUUCUGCUAGAUCUGCUCUCCGAUCGUCAUCGCAUUCAAUGCUCCUCCGUUUUCUGCGCCAAUUACCGUGAUUCCAGUGAACCGACUCUUCUUCCUCUUCACUCUUUUUCAAUAUGAUUAUCUCUAGUCCCGUGACCCCUGGUCAGGUUUCCUGCCUGCUUGGAAUUAUUCCUGUCGUCGCCGCAUGGAUAUAUUCGGAGAUAUUGGAGUAUAGGAAAAAUUCAUUCACUUCCAAAGUUAGGACUUCGGAUGUCAAUUUAGUUGAAAUGGGUAGUGGUGCUGCUAAAGAAGAGGAUACGGUAGUUUAUUAGAGGGGGGAGCCUUGCAGACAGGCUCUCCAAAAGCUCGAAGUUCCACAUCACCAA
Long non-coding RNA from Prosopis cineraria, 438 nucleotides. RefSeq lists it as uncharacterized. The transcript is spliced from 3 exons. The record is from RefSeq and is a predicted model, not a curated record. NCBI's taxonomy places the organism in Eukaryota, Viridiplantae, Streptophyta, Magnoliopsida, Fabales, Fabaceae.